This 326-nucleotide ribosomal RNA is filed under the name uncultured bacterium. Its description in RNAcentral is "bacterial SSU rRNA". It matches the Rfam family "Bacterial small subunit ribosomal RNA", at positions 30 to 354 of the family's 1533-position model. The record is from RNAcentral.
AUUGAACGCUGGCGGCAUGCCUUACACAUGCAAGUCGAACGGCAGCGGACCUUCGGUGCCGGCGAGUGGCGAACGGGUGAGUAAUAUAUCGGAACGUACCUUUCAGUGGGGGAGUAACGUAGCGAAAGUUAACGCUAAUACCGCAUAUUCUGUGAGCAGGAAAGACAGGGGAGUCGCAAGACCUUGCGCUGAUUGAGCGGCCGAUAUCAGAUUAGCUAGUUGGUGAGGUAAAGGACUCACCAAGGCGACGAUCUGUAGCGGGUCUGAGAGGAUGAUCCGCCACACUGGAACUGAGACACGGUCCAGACUCCUACGGGAGGCAGCAG